UACGAAGGGUGCAAACGUUGCUCGGAAUUAUUGGGCGUAAAGCGUGCGUAGGUGGUGAGUUAAGUCUGUCGUGAAAGCCCCGGGCUCAACCUGGGAAUGGCGAUGGAUACUGGCUCGCUAGAGUGCGGUAGAGGAGAGUGGAAUUCCCGGUGUAGCAGUGAAAUGCGUAGAGAUCGGGAGGAACAUCAGUUGCGAAGGCGGCUCUCUGGACCAGCACUGACACUGAGGCACGAAAGCGUGGGGAGCAAACAGG
This 253-nucleotide ribosomal RNA is filed under the name uncultured bacterium. RNAcentral's name for it is "partial 16S ribosomal RNA". It matches the Rfam family "Bacterial small subunit ribosomal RNA", at positions 524 to 776 of the family's 1533-position model. The record is from RNAcentral.